AAAUGAAUAUACAAUAAAUGAAACUGAAAAAGUAGAAGGCCCACAAGAAAAAAAUACAGUAAAAGAAGCACUUAAGGAAAUGAAAAAUGGUAUAGCAGCAUGACCUUCAGGGCUAACAGUAGGCUUAAUAAAAGCAGCAGGAAAGGAAGGAGUGGUGGAGUUGAGAAGUAUUAAACGAUGUAUUAAAAAAGGGAGAGAUACCAGAAGACUGGGAAGGAAACUGCACUAUACCCAUUUUUAAAGGGAAAGGAGAUGCUUUGAUAUGUGGUAACAAUAGGGGGGAUAAGGCUACUGGAGCAUGGCAUGAAGGUGUAUGAAAAAGUCCUGGAGAGAAGGCUGAGAAUAAUAAGAAUUGAUAAAUGUCAGAUUAACUUUUGCCCUGGGAGAUCAACAACUGAAGCAAUAUAUACUAUGAGAGGGCUUCAGGAAAGGUUUAUGGAGGAGACUAUCAUGUUUUUGUAGAUUUAGAGAAGGCAUUUGACAAAGUACCAAGGGAAAUUAUCAGAUGGGCAUCGAGAAGGCAAAGAGUACCAGAAAGAUUAGUUGAAUCGGUGGUGGGACUAUAUGAAGGUAGAAAAUCGAGAAUGAAAACAGUGGUGGGAACAUUAGAUGAGUUCAAAAUUGGAGUGGGGGUUCACCAGGGAUCUGCCCCUAGCCUGCCCUUGUUUAUAACAGUAAUGGAGGCAACACAGGAAGCAAGAGGAGAGGCACCAUGGGAGCUGCUGUAUGCAGAUGACUUGGUAGUAAAUUCAGAGACAGCAGAAAAAGUGAAAGAAAAGUUUAAUAAAUGGAGGAGAGAGGUUUGAAAAUUAAUAUAGAAAAAUCAAACUACAUGGUGACUGGAAAAGAAGCAAGAGAAAAGAUUAAAUCAGGAAAAUAUCCAUGUGGAUGCUGUGGGAAGGGAGUAGGUGUAAAUUCAGUCUUGUGUACAUGUUGCAGGCAAUGGUGCCACCUUAGAUGCUCAGGCCUCAGAAAUGUAAGAGGAAUGCAGAAUUUUACAUCCCCAGCUUGCCUAAGGAGACAGCAAGGACAAGAAACUGAGAAGGAUGAACUAGAGGUUUCCCCAAGUACCCAUUUAUUGCCUUGACCAGAAGGGAGGACGAACAGUUUGGACUGUGCACUGACUGCCCAUACCUGGAUUUGAACCCAGGUCCAUGAAUUUGUAGCUAGCGUAUUAAGUACUGCACUAAGGAGGCAUCCUGGGAAUACAUACUAUAUACAGGUAACUCUCGAUUUACGCAAGUUUGGUUUAUGCGUUUUUUAAAUAAUGCGGGGUCUAACAUCCAAAUAAAUGUCUAAUUUACA
Long non-coding RNA from Eriocheir sinensis (Chinese mitten crab), 1305 nucleotides. RefSeq lists it as uncharacterized. The record is from RefSeq and is a predicted model, not a curated record. The transcript has 2 exons. NCBI's taxonomy places the organism in Eukaryota, Metazoa, Arthropoda, Malacostraca, Decapoda, Varunidae.